UACGGAGGAUGCAAGCGUUAUCCGGAGUGAUUGGGCGUAAAGCGUCCGCAGGUGGCUAUGUAAGUCUGCUGUUAAAGAGUGAGGCUCAACCUCAUAAGAGCAGUGGAAACUACAUGGCUAGAGUGCGUUCGGGGCAGAGGGAAUUCCUGGUGUAGCGGUGAAAUGCGUAGAGAUCAGGAAGAACACCGGUGGCGAAAGCGCUCUGCUAGGCCGCAACUGACACCCAUGGACGAAAGCUAGGGGAGCGAAUGGG
This 253-nucleotide ribosomal RNA is filed under the name uncultured bacterium. RNAcentral describes it as "partial 16S ribosomal RNA". It matches the Rfam family "Bacterial small subunit ribosomal RNA", at positions 524 to 776 of the family's 1533-position model. The record is from RNAcentral.